This is a long non-coding RNA of Folsomia candida, 679 nucleotides long. RefSeq lists it as uncharacterized. The record is from RefSeq and is a predicted model, not a curated record. NCBI's taxonomy places the organism in Eukaryota, Metazoa, Arthropoda, Collembola, Entomobryomorpha, Isotomidae. The transcript has 2 exons.
GUGACACAUUCGUUGUUGUAACAUAACAUGUUUUCGUACCAUCAAUUAAAGUUGUACAUCAAUAUGUUUCCUUAAUUAAAUAAUUUUGUGCAUUUACAUACAUACAUAUAUACAUACGAAGGAAAGGAUUAGGUUAAAAAUCCGAUAUGAAAAGGCUUCCCGUUACAAAAUUCAUAACUCAGUAUAACUUGAUACUUCAGCCGGAAACAGGAAAAUAACAAAAAUAAAGAUUUUCAGAAAUUUUCGUACAUCAUGCAAUAUUUACACGUUUUUCUGGUCGGUGCAGCUGUCAUGAUUGCUUCGGUUCUCGGAAACCCGGCCGGAUCUGAGACCGUGUUGGGUCAAUCAGUAAGCAGGGCUUCUCAAGGCGUAGAAUUGCAUGCACGUGACGGAGGGAAGUUGGCCUGGUGUGGUGGUCUCACUGGAGACGGUUGCAAAUCUGACUGCGCUUCUAUGGGGAUGCCAUGCUCGAAAUGCACUUCGGAACAUUGCCGAUGCCAUUACUGUUAACGUCCGUUUAGCACUGGAUAUGCUAUUUUAUUAUAGGCGAUGCUACAUGUGAAGGGUGAACUAGAAAUUAGUACAUAUACUAAAUAAAAAGUAAUAUAUACAAUUGAAGACUGGAAUAAUACACAUUUAUGUAGCGCUUGCCAAUUGUGAAAUAAAUAGUUUUCAACUU